CUGCGUUGAUGAUUUUAGAGUUUUCUGACUUGGUAAAUUUGCCCCACGGGGUCGCCUCUGACCAGGAAGUGACCACAGUUAAUCUUCUCUCUGAGCGG
Small nucleolar RNA from Syngnathoides biaculeatus (alligator pipefish), 98 nucleotides. RefSeq annotates it as Z30 small nucleolar RNA. NCBI's taxonomy places the organism in Eukaryota, Metazoa, Chordata, Actinopteri, Syngnathiformes, Syngnathidae. The record is from RefSeq and is a predicted model, not a curated record. The transcript has a single exon.